RNAcentral lists this long non-coding RNA (758 nucleotides) under Salmo salar (Atlantic salmon). RNAcentral describes it as "lncRNA (ENSSSAG00000090056.1, ENSSSAG00000121729.1)". The record is from RNAcentral. Lineage: Eukaryota; Metazoa; Chordata; Actinopteri; Salmoniformes; Salmonidae.
CUUGUCCUCAAUCACCGUAAUUCAUCAGGAUGAUUAGGGGUCCCUUAACUUCCAGGAGCUGAAGGGCGCUACAACCUGUCCCUUCCUGCUCUGAACUGCUCCAGAUAUCUGAGACAUUGGACAGUAGGGCUGGACGAAGUUGUAAAGAGUGGCUACUGGCCAGCUACCGUGACUCACCAGACCAUCUUCACAAUGGACCUCUUCAAGUCCUUUGAAGACAUGAAGGUGUUGGCCCCAGGAUGCUCCCCAUCAAGCCUUUGUGGGAAUUCUUGACAGAAGAACAAAGCCCUUUGGCAGGAGUGGAAAGAUAUGUGGUGACACAUUCCAGAAGGCAUUCCUCGAUUGGACGCGUGGGCGGUUUGAAAUAGACCAGCUUUGUGGACGCGAUCUCCUCCAUUGUCUUGCCUGCUCACAGGAGAUGCAUGCUGUAUCAGUGGAUAGGAAUUGCAAGAAAUACUGCUUCCAUAAAGCUUCAGGCUCCAGCACACUUCAAUUAAGAAGAUCAACCUAAUUGCCCCUUUCCUUGCCACGGUGGAGAGACUUGCGUACUCCAAUUACCCUGAGUGCUAAGCCAGAAGGGGGUUUAUAGUCCCGGCAGGUGCAACCAAGCCGGCCAGGUCAAAGGGUAGGAGGCAGACAAAACAGUCCAUAGUCCUCCAUGUCGGGGGUUGGGCUUGGGGCUAACUACCCCACCCCGGAAGAACUGAAAGAUUGACAUAUGGAAACCAAAUAAACUGCCCCAAAGCAGAACAUUUUCU